This 63-nucleotide transfer RNA is filed under the name Dipodomys ordii (Ord's kangaroo rat). It matches the Rfam family "tRNA". Rfam says of the family: Transfer RNA (tRNA) molecules are approximately 80 nucleotides in length. Their secondary structure includes four short double-helical elements and three loops (D, anti-codon, and T loops). Further hydrogen bonds mediate the characteristic L-shaped molecular structure. tRNAs have two regions of fundamental functional importance: the anti-codon, which is responsible for specific mRNA codon recognition, and the 3' end, to which the tRNAs corresponding amino acid is attached (by aminoacyl-tRNA synthetases). tRNAs cope with the degeneracy of the genetic code in two manners: having more than one tRNA (with a specific anti-codon) for a particular amino acid; and 'wobble' base-pairing, i.e. permitting non-standard base-pairing at the 3rd anti-codon position. Lineage: Eukaryota; Metazoa; Chordata; Mammalia; Rodentia; Heteromyidae. The record is from Rfam by way of RNAcentral.
AGGAAUGUAGCUUAGUGGCAGAGUGCUUGCCUAGUAUGCAUGAAUCCCUCGGUUCCAUUCCUU